Molecule: transfer RNA, 173 nt
Filed under: Penicillium salamii
Lineage: Eukaryota; Fungi; Ascomycota; Eurotiomycetes; Eurotiales; Aspergillaceae
Description: tRNA-SeC
Rfam family: tRNA
About the family: Transfer RNA (tRNA) molecules are approximately 80 nucleotides in length. Their secondary structure includes four short double-helical elements and three loops (D, anti-codon, and T loops).
Source: RNAcentral
UGGCAAGAUGGCCGAGUUGGUCUAAGGCGUUAGACGUCAGUAUCCCCACAUUGAUCUUCCACUCAGAUCCCAAUCUAACUCCCACAUAGUCAAGACACUAAGUCGUCUUCGCUGUUAUACAGUGAGCAUUCUAAUCUCGCAAGAGGCACGGGUUCGAAUCCCGUUCUUGUCAU